Acipenser ruthenus (sterlet) is the source of this 1617-nucleotide long non-coding RNA. RefSeq lists it as uncharacterized. The record is from RefSeq and is a predicted model, not a curated record. NCBI's taxonomy places the organism in Eukaryota, Metazoa, Chordata, Actinopteri, Acipenseriformes, Acipenseridae. The transcript is spliced from 3 exons.
UCUAGUAGGACCUCCCCUCUCCUUUGUGUUUUGACUGGUAUCUGCUCAUUAGCACUAGCUGAAGUGAUCAGUCAGGAGUCCUGAUUAUUCAGUCAAUGCUUUAUCAUGCACUGACACUGGAGCAUCUCCUAGUCUCCUGAACAGAGACAGCCAUGAGGAGGGGAAGCUAUGAUGAUAUUGCUGCUUCAAUAAGCCCUCAGCUCAGGAGUCUGGCACAGCGUCGCCGCUCUGCCCCUUCCCUGGUCUUCGGUAAAGCACUCGGCAAGCCAUGGACCACAGCCAGGACGGAAUCACCCAGGGGGCUAAUACUAAAGUCUGACAUUUCAGUCUAUGCCACCCCUCCCACUCUGUGAUCAUAAGAAGUGGACGCAAAUCAAAACCAAAGUGGGGGUUUUUACUGACCACUUUAAUGUAUAGCGCAUGUUAAUUAAAAUAGAAAUAUUAUACAUUGUGCCAUGGUACCUUUCUGAGUGAAAGCAAAAUCUGUGAAUAGUACAAUUUUAAAUGUGAUUUCUUAAAUCUCUAUGCUACCCUAUUCAGCAGCAAUUAUUGAGUACCUUGUUCGAUUCCAUAUAUCAAUUCAAACUAACUCAGAAUAAUUGGGAGGGAGCUUCCCAAAGUGUACUCCCUUUUAGACAUAGAGGGAACUAAGAUAAUUCUUGUCUUUCAGUGGUUUUAUAUAGCAGCUUCUUUAAUAGCUAUCUCAGUAAAAUAGUUAUUUUGGAUAUUCAUUUUCCAUAGAAACUUCAUAAUACAUUCUAAAUGUAUUCCUAACAACUUGAAUUAAAGCACAUAGGAUCAUGAUGAUAUGUAUUACAUAAUUACAUACAUUGGGAGCAACAUAAAUGGUGGUGGCAUCCCUUCCAAAUGAGAGUAAUCUACACAGUCAUUAUUACAAUGUGUGCAACACUUUAUGUUAAGAGGCCAUUUUGUGUAUUAACUGACAUAUUAACAAUCAUGUUUUAUGUUUAGUAACUCUUUAUUAUUGCUUCAUAAAGUCGAAUGAAACCUGCCGAAUAAUGUUCGUCAACAUACUGAAUUACAUACCGCUUUGUAGUUUUCCUUAUACUUAACAAAAAACUGACAGAUUAAAAAAUGUGACAUUGUUUCCAGUGCAUGGGUUAUUCCUGCUAUCAUCACUCUCACCAUCAUCAUCAUCAUGUUAUCUGUAGUGGACAAUAAAAAGGCCCCAUUGCGGUGAUGUACAGUUCUGUACAGCUGGUAGUUCAUUCAUAACUAGAAAACACUCAGUAGGUAGCAGAAGAUUGAAAAGGUACAAAAUAAAUAUUAGCCAAUUUGUGGAUUUAAAGUACUAUAUAUUAAUAUAAAUCAGUUGUUCUCACUGGAGCUUACGUCAUCAUUUGACUACACACUUUACCUCCAUCCAUUCUGACCUACUUUCAGCAUAUUCUUUUGCAUAUUUUUUUUUCUGAGUCAAUAAAUAUCACUUCAGUUGCUAUACAAAUGCAUUUAUUUCUUUAAGAUUCUUUAAAACAGAAAUACUAUAGUAAGCGUUAUCUGCAAAAUGCAUUGGACCAGAUUCUAUUCUGGGGUGUUUUCUUUUCUGAGAUAUCAUGAUAAAGCCAUGCCUGUAUCUGUAUAUCAGUCUCUAAGUCU